CUGCAGUCGAGCGAACAGAUAAGGAGCUUGCUCCUUUGACGUUAGCGGCGGACGGGUGAGUAACACGUGGGUAACCUACCUAUAAGACUGGGAUAACUUCGGGAAACCGGAGCUAAUACCGGAUAACAUUUGGAACCGCAUGGUUCUAAAGUGAAAGAUGGUUUUGCUAUCACUUAUAGAUGGACCCGCGCCGUAUUAGCUAGUUGGUAAGGUAACGGCUUACCAAGGCGACGAUACGUAGCCGACCUGAGAGGGUGAUCGGCCACACUGGAACUGAGACACGGUCCAGACUCCUACGGGAGGCAGCAGUAGGGAAUCUUCCGCAAUGGGCGAAAGCCUGACGGAGCAACGCCGCGUGAGUGAUGAAGGGUUUCGGCUCGUAAAACUCUGUUAUUAGGGAAGAACAAACGUGUAAGUAACUGUGCACGUCUUGACGGUACCUAAUCAGAAAGCCACGGCUAACUACGUGCCAGCAGCCGCGGUAAUACGUAGGUGGCAAGCGUUAUCCGGAAUUAUUGGGCGUAAAGCGCGCGUAGGCGGUUUCUUAAGUCUGAUGUGAAAGCCCACGGCUCAACCGUGGAGGGUCAUUGGAAACUGGGAAACUUGAGUGCAGAAGAGGAAAGUGGAAUUCCAUGUGUAGCGGUGAAAUGCGCAGAGAUAUGGAGGAACACCAGUGGCGAAGGCGACUUUCUGGUCUGUAACUGACGCUGAUGUGCGAAAGCGUGGGGAUCAAACAGGAUUAGAUACCCUGGUAGUCCACGCCGUAAACGAUGAGUGCUAAGUGUUAGGGGGUUUCCGCCCCUUAGUGCUGCAGCUAACGCAUUAAGCACUCCGCCUGGGGAGUACGACCGCAAGGUUGAAACUCAAAGGAAUUGACGGGGACCCGCACAAGCGGUGGAGCAUGUGGUUUAAUUCGAAGCAACGCGAAGAACCUUACCAAAUCUUGACAUCCUUUGAAAACUCUAGAGAUAGAGCCUUCCCCUUCGGGGGACAAAGUGACAGGUGGUGCAUGGUUGUCGUCAGCUCGUGUCGUGAGAUGUUGGGUUAAGUCCCGCAACGAGCGCAACCCUUAAGCUUAGUUGCCAUCAUUAAGUUGGGCACUCUAGGUUGACUGCCGGUGACAAACCGGAGGAAGGUGGGGAUGACGUCAAAUCAUCAUGCCCCUUAUGAUUUGGGCUACACACGUGCUACAAUGGACAAUACAAAGGGCAGCUAAACCGCGAGGUCAUGCAAAUCCCAUAAAGUUGUUCUCAGUUCGGAUUGUAGUCUGCAACUCGACUACAUGAAGCUGGAAUCGCUAGUAAUCGUAGAUCAGCAUGCUACGGUGAAUACGUUCCCGGGUCUUGUACACACCGCCCGUCACACCACGAGAGUUUGUAACACCCGAAGCCGGUGGAGUAACCAUUUA
This 1408-nucleotide ribosomal RNA is filed under the name Staphylococcus sp. CBU033B. RNAcentral's name for it is "bacterial SSU rRNA". It matches the Rfam family "Bacterial small subunit ribosomal RNA". Lineage: Bacteria; Bacillati; Bacillota; Bacilli; Caryophanales; Staphylococcaceae. The record is from RNAcentral.